RNAcentral lists this ribosomal RNA (113 nucleotides) under Candidatus Roizmanbacteria bacterium CG10_big_fil_rev_8_21_14_0_10_45_7. The record is from RNAcentral. Lineage: Bacteria; Candidatus Roizmaniibacteriota.
CUCGGUUAUUGGAGCGACUUGGCACCACCUCUUCCCAUUCCGAACAGAGUCGUGAAACGGGUCAGCGCGGACGAUACUCUAUUUAUUUAGGGGACAAUACGUCAUAGCCGGGG